This 482-nucleotide ribosomal RNA is filed under the name uncultured bacterium. RNAcentral describes it as "partial 16S ribosomal RNA". It matches the Rfam family "Bacterial small subunit ribosomal RNA", at positions 30 to 507 of the family's 1533-position model. The record is from RNAcentral.
AUUGAACGCUGGCGGCAUGCCUUACACAUGCAAGUCGAACGGUAGCGGGCCUUCGGGUGCCGACGAGUGGCGAACGGGUGAGUAAUACAUCGGAACGUGCCCGAUCGUGGGGGAUAACGAGGCGAAAGCUUUGCUAAUACCGCAUACGAUCUACGGAUGAAAGCAGGGGACCGCAAGGCCUUGCGCGGACGGGGCGGCCGAUGGCAGAUUAGGUAGUUGGUGGGAUAAAAGCUUACCAAGCCGACGAUCUGUAGCUGGUCUGAGAGGAUGAUCAGCCACACUGGGACUGAGACACGGCCCAGACUCCUACGGGAGGCAGCAGUGGGGAAUUUUGGACAAUGGGCGCAAGCCUGAUCCAGCCAUGCCGCGUGCAGGAUGAAGGCCUUCGGGUUGUAAACUGCUUUUGUACGGAACGAAAAGCCUUCUUUUAAUACAGGAGGGUCAUGACGGUACCGUAAGAAUAAGCACCGGCUAACUACGUG